RNAcentral lists this ribosomal RNA (465 nucleotides) under Vreelandella stevensii. Its description in RNAcentral is "partial 16S ribosomal RNA". It matches the Rfam family "Bacterial small subunit ribosomal RNA", at positions 338 to 795 of the family's 1533-position model. Lineage: Bacteria; Pseudomonadati; Pseudomonadota; Gammaproteobacteria; Oceanospirillales; Halomonadaceae. The record is from RNAcentral.
CCUACGGGAGGUUGCAGUGGGGAAUAUUGGACAAUGGGCGAAAGCCUGAUCCAGCCAUGCCGCGUGUGUGAAGAAGGCCUUCGGGUUGUAAAGCACUUUCAGUGGGGAAGAAAGCCUUGGGGCUAAUACCCUCGAGGAAGGACAUCACCCACAGAAGAAGCACCGGCUAACUCCGUGCCAGCAGCCGCGGUAAUACGGAGGGUGCGAGCGUUAAUCGGAAUUACUGGGCGUAAAGCGCGCGUAGGCGGUCUGAUAAGCCGGUUGUGAAAGCCCCGGGCUCAACCUGGGAACGGCAUCCGGAACUGUCAGGCUAGAGUGCAGGAGAGGAAGGUAGAAUUCCCGGUGUAGCGGUGAAAUGCGUAGAGAUCGGGAGGAAUACCAGUGGCGAAGGCGGCCUUCUGGUCUGACACUGACGCUGAGGUGCGAAAGCGUGGGUAGCAAACAGGAUUAGAUACCCGAGUAGUC